Molecule: ribosomal RNA, 253 nt
Filed under: uncultured bacterium
Lineage: Bacteria
Description: partial 16S ribosomal RNA
Rfam family: Bacterial small subunit ribosomal RNA
Source: RNAcentral
UACAGAGGUCCCAAGCGUUGCGCGGAAUCACUGGGCUUAAAGGGUGCGUAGGCGGAUGUGCAAGUGCCUUGUGAAAUCCCCGGGCUCAACCCGGGAACUGCUUGGUAGACUGCAUGUCUUGAGGUCGGUAGGGGUUGCUGGAACAGUUGGUGGAGCGGUGAAAUGCGUAGAUAUCAACUGGAACGCCAAAGGCGAAGGCAAGCAACUGGGCCGAUUCUGACGCUGAGGCACGAAAGCGUGGGGAGCAAACGGG